This 295-nucleotide long non-coding RNA is filed under the name Pongo abelii (Sumatran orangutan). RNAcentral's name for it is "lincRNA". The record is from RNAcentral. Lineage: Eukaryota; Metazoa; Chordata; Mammalia; Primates; Hominidae.
GGAAGGCUGCCUACAAGCAUCACAGUCCCAUCUCUGUUGGGACAAUUCCCAGUGAAGGCCUUAAAUGAUGCUCAACUAAGCAGGUUCUUGUGUGGCCUCUGUGUCUUCGACAGCUGCUGAAUCCUCUGAUCACACAUGAUGGGACUUGUACACUUGAAAUUAAAUAUAUUUUUAAAACUUCUGUUGUUGAGAAUUCCCACCUCAUUUUUCCAUGGACAAAAUUAUUCUUUAUGUCAUAGCGCACUGAAAAUUUGGUAUUACCUAGAAGUUAAAGAAAUACGAUAACCGUGCCAAA